This 74-nucleotide transfer RNA is filed under the name Agathobaculum butyriciproducens. RNAcentral's name for it is "tRNA-Gly". It matches the Rfam family "tRNA". From Rfam's summary of the family: Transfer RNA (tRNA) molecules are approximately 80 nucleotides in length. Their secondary structure includes four short double-helical elements and three loops (D, anti-codon, and T loops). Further hydrogen bonds mediate the characteristic L-shaped molecular structure. tRNAs have two regions of fundamental functional importance: the anti-codon, which is responsible for specific mRNA codon recognition, and the 3' end, to which the tRNAs corresponding amino acid is attached (by aminoacyl-tRNA synthetases). tRNAs cope with the degeneracy of the genetic code in two manners: having more than one tRNA (with a specific anti-codon) for a particular amino acid; and 'wobble' base-pairing, i.e. permitting non-standard base-pairing at the 3rd anti-codon position. RNAcentral also lists the same sequence under 6 other names. Lineage: Bacteria; Bacillati; Bacillota; Clostridia; Eubacteriales; Butyricicoccaceae. The record is from RNAcentral.
GCAGGUGUAGUUUAAUGGCAGAACUUCAGCUUCCCAAGCUGACCGCGUGGGUUCGAUUCCCAUCACCUGCUCCA